AUGGACAUAAACACCACAAUCAAGGGGAUCGCGAAGGACAUUGCUAGCGAGGCUAGCAAAAUCGCCGCUAGCGCGGCCGCCAAAGCUGCUGACGAGGGCUUGCCGAAAUUUCACUUCUCCACCAAUGAGCGGGACGCCGCCAGCACCACGCUCAUUCUAUUCUUUGAAAGUCUUGUCGAGGCAUUGGAAAAGCAACAGGAGGCUCGAGCUACACAUCUUGCCACCGAGUCCCGCGGGCUUUGCCGAGAUUUCCUCUUCAAGGUACCAGAACCAUGGCCUCGACAUCUCCAAGGCUUUCAAGAGGUUGCCGAAGGAAGCAAAUACCAAGGCCGCCAAAGAGCUUGUCGCGCCACUCGCCGACUAGGUCGCCGCAAUCCCCUGGACUGA
This 387-nucleotide ribosomal RNA is filed under the name Triticum aestivum (bread wheat). RNAcentral describes it as "partial small subunit ribosomal RNA". The record is from RNAcentral. Lineage: Eukaryota; Viridiplantae; Streptophyta; Magnoliopsida; Poales; Poaceae.